RNAcentral lists this ribosomal RNA (189 nucleotides) under uncultured bacterium. RNAcentral describes it as "partial 16S ribosomal RNA". It matches the Rfam family "Bacterial small subunit ribosomal RNA", at positions 1312 to 1500 of the family's 1533-position model. The record is from RNAcentral.
UCGCCUACAUGAAGUUGGAAUCGCUAGUAAUCGCGAAUCAGAAUGUCGCGGUGAAUACGUUCCCGGGUCUUGUACACACCGCCCGUCACACCACGAGAGUUUACAACACCCGAAGUCAGUGGCCUAACCGCAAGGAGGGAGCUGCCUAAGGUGGGGUAGAUGAUUGGGGUGAAGUCGUAACAAGGUAAC